GAGCGUGCAGAAAUUGGAGACGGAAAGUCGCCCGGCUGCGGCCACGUACCGCGAUGCAGUCUCAUCGCACGAUCAACCUGAUUCUGCUAUUCCUCGGAAUGCUAGCGACCAGCCGUGGGCAAACAGCAGGUUUGCAAACAGAUGGGGCCCGGAUUGGAAAACCUGUACUUCAGGACGAGCUGCAAGUAACCGAAGGCGGACCAGAACUUCGUGGGCCACGAUACCAGAGAAGGACCCUGAUUGAUGACCGCAGAAUUCCUUUGCGCCAGUUACAAAUUCGGUCACAGCUCAUCAGAACAGCACUUUUUGAAAAACAGCUGCCUUACAAUCUUAUCGCUAAUCGCGAAGACGACGGAAAUUUCGGCAUUGGAAACCGCUCAAGGAUGCUAUCAAGGAGCGCGCACAUUAGUGACAACUUUAAAAACGCUCGAGGCAUAGCUUUGGGUUCUAGCUGGCAGCCCGUUGGACAUGACCCUCUUCAAACAGAGAUAAGAGCUCGAGUGCGAAGAGAAACACAAAAUACAACUCUACGGCGGCAAAAGCGUUACAUUUGGCCAUUUUUGGCGCUCAGCUGGCUGUAUUUGCCAUAUUUAUACUCAGGACUGUAUGGCUACUCUGCGUUAUAUUCACCAUUUUAUUACAGUUACCCUUACUACACAUACAACUAUGGGUACGGGUAUUAUCCGUACAGGUGGGUCAUUAAUCCAGUCUAUGUGAAUCCUGUCCAACCAACGGGCGCGGCUACGACACCCGCCGCGGCUAGCUGACGGCGUCAUUCCGUUGGUCGUUUUAAUGUCCCAGAAUCGCAAUAAAAAUACGUCUUGAAGAAUGUUAA
Molecule: long non-coding RNA, 835 nt
Filed under: Dermacentor andersoni
Lineage: Eukaryota; Metazoa; Arthropoda; Arachnida; Ixodida; Ixodidae
Description: uncharacterized LOC126547136
Source: RNAcentral